AAACGACUCUCGGCAACGGAUAUCUCGGCUCACGCAUCGAUGAAGAACGUAGCAAAAUGCGAUACUUGGUGUGAAUUGCAGAAUCCCGUGAACCAUCGAGUUUUUGAACGCAAGUUGCGCCCGUUGCCAUUCGGCCGAGGGCACGUCUGCCUGGGCGUCACGCA
This 164-nucleotide ribosomal RNA is filed under the name Centaurea carolipauana. RNAcentral describes it as "5.8S ribosomal RNA". It matches the Rfam family "5.8S ribosomal RNA". Rfam says of the family: 5.8S ribosomal RNA (5.8S rRNA) is a component of the large subunit of the eukaryotic ribosome. It is transcribed by RNA polymerase I as part of the 45S precursor that also contains 18S and 28S rRNA. Functionally, it is thought that 5.8S rRNA may be involved in ribosome translocation. The record is from RNAcentral. Lineage: Eukaryota; Viridiplantae; Streptophyta; Magnoliopsida; Asterales; Asteraceae.